RNAcentral lists this ribosomal RNA (500 nucleotides) under uncultured bacterium. RNAcentral's name for it is "partial 16S ribosomal RNA". It matches the Rfam family "Bacterial small subunit ribosomal RNA", at positions 30 to 523 of the family's 1533-position model. The record is from RNAcentral.
AUUGAACGCUGGCGGCAUGCCUUACACAUGCAAGUCGAACGGCAGCACGGGAGCAAUCCUGGUGGCGAGUGGCGAACGGGUGAGUAAAGUAUCGGAACGUGCCCAGUCGUGGGGGAUAACGUAGCGAAAGUUACGCUAAUACCGCAUACGAUCUAUGGAUGAAAGCGGGGGAUCGCAAGACCUCGCGCGAUUGGAGCGGCCGAUAUCAGAUUAGGUAGUUGGUGAGGUAAAGGCUCACCAAGCCGACGAUCUGUAGCUGGUCUGAGAGGACGACCAGCCAAGCUGGGACUGAGACACGGCCCAGACUCCUACGGGAGGCAGCAGUGGGGAAUUUUGGACAAUGGGCGCAAGCCUGAUCCAGCAAUGCCGCGUGCAGGAUGAAGGCCUUCGGGUUGUAAACUGCUUUUGUACGGAACGAAACGGUGAGCUCUAAUACAGUUUGCUAAUGACGGUACCGUAAGAAUAAGCACCGGCUAACUACGUGCCAGCCGCCGCAGUAA